Molecule: ribosomal RNA, 492 nt
Filed under: uncultured bacterium
Lineage: Bacteria
Description: partial 16S ribosomal RNA
Rfam family: Bacterial small subunit ribosomal RNA
Source: RNAcentral
AGUGAACGCUGGCGGUAGGCCUAACACAUGCAAGUCGAACGGCAACACAGUAAGAGCUUGCUCUUACGGGUGGCGAGUGGCGGACGGGUGAGGAAUACAUCGGCAUCUACUUUUUCGUGGGGGAUAACGUGGGGAAACUUACGCUAAUACCGCAUACGACCUACGGGUGAAAGCAGGGGAUCUUCGGACCUUGCGCGAUUGAAUGAGCCGAUGUCGGAUUAGCUAGUUGGCGGGGUAAAGGCCCACCAAGGCGACGAUCCGUAGCUGGUCUGAGAGGAUGAUCAGCCACACUGGAACUGAGACACGGUCCAGACUCCUACGGGAGGCAGCAGUGGGGAAUAUUGGACAAUGGGCGCAAGCCUGAUCCAGCCAUACCGCGUGGGUGAAGAAGGCCUUCGGGUUGUAAAGCCCUUUUGUUGGGAAAGAAAAGCAGCAGGUGAAUACCCCGCUGUUCUGACGGUACCCAAAGAAUAAGCACCGGCUAACUUCGUG